CCCCACUGUCCACUCUCACACCAAAACCAGUAAAAAAAUAUCGUCACCUUCGCCGGCGAGAUGGCCCACCGCCGCAUCAUCCUCCUCCUCGCCGCCGCCGCCGUCGCCGCGACCUCCGCCGUCGCCGCCGCGUCCUCCGGCUUCGACGACUCCAACCCGAUCCGCUCCGUCACGGACCACGCCGCCUCCGCGCUCGAGUCAACCGUCAUCGCCGCCCUCGGCCGCACCCGCGACGCCCUCCGCUUCGCCCGCUUCGCCGUCAGGUCGGCGCCGCCCCCCCCGUUCGGUUCCCCCUAAUCCCACCCCACCGCCGCUGCCGCCGCCGCCGCCGCCGCGGCCAUUCGUCUUCCUCGUCGUCCUGACCUCUCGUUCGAUCUCGUCCUACGCGC
Molecule: long non-coding RNA, 389 nt
Filed under: Oryza sativa (Asian cultivated rice)
Lineage: Eukaryota; Viridiplantae; Streptophyta; Magnoliopsida; Poales; Poaceae
Description: long non-coding RNA (OSAT_LNC001669)
Source: RNAcentral